GUCUCAGGCCGUAUCAGCCUGAAGGCGCCUGAUCUCGUCUGAUCUCGGAAGCUAAGCAGGGUCGGGCCUGGUUAGUAUCUUGGAUGGGAGACCACCUGGGAAUCCCGGGUGCUCGAGGCU
This is a ribosomal RNA of Bison bison bison, 120 nucleotides long. Lineage: Eukaryota; Metazoa; Chordata; Mammalia; Artiodactyla; Bovidae. The record is from Ensembl.